CCUACGGGAGGCAGCAGUGGGGAAUAUUGGGCAAUGGAGGAGACUCUGAACCGGCAACGCCGCGUGAAUGAUGAAGGUCUUCGGAUUGGAAAGUUCUUUUCGAAGGGAAGCAGAAAGUGACGGUACCUUAGGAAUAAGCCUCGGCUAACUACGUGCCAGCAGCCGCGGUAAUACGGAGGAGGCGAGCGUUAUCCGGAAGGACUGGGCGUAAAGGGUGCGUAGGUGGUUUUGCAAGUUAGUAGGGUAACUCCAAGGCUCAACCUUGGAACUACUACUAAAACUGUUGGACUUGAGUGCAGGAGGGGCAACCGGAAUGCCUAGUGUAGCGGUGGAAUGCGUAGAUAUUAGGAGGAACACCAGUGGCGAAGGCGGGUUGCUAGACUGUAACUGACACUGAGGCACGAAAGCGUGGGGAGCAAACAGGAUUAGAUACCCGAGUAGUC
RNAcentral lists this ribosomal RNA (443 nucleotides) under uncultured bacterium. Its description in RNAcentral is "partial 16S ribosomal RNA". It matches the Rfam family "Bacterial small subunit ribosomal RNA", at positions 338 to 795 of the family's 1533-position model. The record is from RNAcentral.